Molecule: unclassified non-coding RNA, 248 nt
Filed under: Hevea brasiliensis (rubber tree)
Lineage: Eukaryota; Viridiplantae; Streptophyta; Magnoliopsida; Malpighiales; Euphorbiaceae
Source: RNAcentral
GUUUUCUUUCCGUUCCAAAUUUUUCUCACGAAAUGCAUUAAAUGAAACAUCAUGAUUGUUUUUCUUACACUAAUGAUUCAAGACGCAAAGUUGAUUUACAAUGGGUCAUGGAAAUGGAGUUUCAGCGCCAUAUCAUCAAACAUUAUUCAUCAUUUAUAUACGGAUAGGAAAAUUUGGAACGGAAAGAAAACUCAUCAAACCAUUUGUAUGCAAUUUCACCCGCCUCUCAGUAGACAUGAAUAUCUACA